Molecule: ribosomal RNA, 465 nt
Filed under: uncultured bacterium
Lineage: Bacteria
Description: partial 16S ribosomal RNA
Rfam family: Bacterial small subunit ribosomal RNA
Source: RNAcentral
CCUACGGGUGGCAGCAGUGGGGAAUAUUGCGCAAUGGGCGAAAGCCUGACGCAGCGACGCCGCGUGAGGGAUGAAGGUCUUCGGAUCGUAAACCUCUGUCAGCAGGGAAGAACGGUCACUGUGCUAAUCAGCAUUGCAUUGACGGUACCUGCAAAGGAAGCACCGGCUAACUCCGUGCCAGCAGCCGCGGUAAUACGGAGGGUGCGAGCGUUAAUCGGAAUUACUGGGCGUAAAGCGCUCGUAGGCGGUAUGUCAAGUCAAGGGGGAAAUCCCCGCGCUCAACGGGGGAACUGCCUUUGAAACUGGCAAACUGGAGUGUGUGAGAGGAGAGUGGAAUUCCAGGUGUAGGAGUGAAAUCCGUAGAUAUCUGGAGGAACAUCAGUGGCGAAGGCGACUAUCUGGCACAUAACUGACGCUGAGGAGCGAAAGCGUGGGUAGCAAACAGGAUUAGAUACCCGGGUAGUC